GAGGUGAUAGUUCAACUGGUCAGAAUCCACCGGAGACGACAGCCCGGUGCGAUGCGGGUUCAAAUCCCGCUCGCCUCA
Molecule: transfer RNA, 78 nt
Filed under: Muribaculaceae bacterium
Lineage: Bacteria; Pseudomonadati; Bacteroidota; Bacteroidia; Bacteroidales; Muribaculaceae
Description: tRNA-Ser
Rfam family: tRNA
About the family: Transfer RNA (tRNA) molecules are approximately 80 nucleotides in length.
Source: RNAcentral